This 391-nucleotide RNase P RNA is filed under the name human gut metagenome. RNAcentral's name for it is "Bacterial RNase P class A". It matches the Rfam family "Bacterial RNase P class A". Rfam says of the family: Ribonuclease P (RNase P) is a ubiquitous endoribonuclease, found in archaea, bacteria and eukarya as well as chloroplasts and mitochondria. Its best characterised activity is the generation of mature 5'-ends of tRNAs by cleaving the 5'-leader elements of precursor-tRNAs. The record is from RNAcentral.
GUCGGGCGGUCCGUCGCCGGCGGGUUCACAGAACGCCGCCUGAGGAAAGUCCGGGCAACACAGAGCGCCAUACUCCCUAACGGAGAGCUGUAGGUGACUGCAGAGACAACGUGACAGAAAACAACCGCCCCGCCUUCAACGCGGGGUAAGGGUGAAAAGGUGGAGUAAGAGCCCACCGGGCGCUCUGGCGACAGGGCGUGCCGCACGUCUUAUGGGUUGCAAGGUCAAGUAAACCGGCAUCUAAGGGUUGCUCGCCCGUUGCCGGAGGGUAGACUGCUACCGUUGAUGCCCAUCGGGCGUCCGAUUAGCCGAGAUGGCAACAUCCGGCAUAGAUAAAUGACGGACAGGAACGCUCGGCGUUCCCACAUAACCCGGCUUACAGCCCGACUGU